Molecule: transfer RNA, 66 nt
Filed under: Lauridromia dehaani
Lineage: Eukaryota; Metazoa; Arthropoda; Malacostraca; Decapoda; Dromiidae
Description: tRNA-Ser
Source: RNAcentral
GAUUAUUUAGUUUAUAAAAAACGAAUGUUUUGAAAACAUUAAAAAGAAAAUAUUUUCUAAUAAUCG